Long non-coding RNA from Gorilla gorilla gorilla (western lowland gorilla), 1098 nucleotides. RefSeq lists it as uncharacterized. Lineage: Eukaryota; Metazoa; Chordata; Mammalia; Primates; Hominidae. The transcript has 4 exons. The record is from RefSeq and is a predicted model, not a curated record.
GCCCUACUUCAGAGCUGCUCAGAGGGACAGUCCGCCUCCAUGUCCUCACUUCUUAAUCUUAAGCCACCUAGACUUGCCAUGAGGGCAUAGAAGAGGAGAUGAUGCAUAACCCUGUCUCAGACAAAGGUGUUAUUUAGCAGGUCUUGCCAAGGUGGCAGGGGCGUGAGGCCAAGGCCUCCCGGGAGGGAAUAUACUCUCCAGUAUCAUCUUUACCUUUGUGACUGCAUAGAUGAAGGCAGCUAACACUGACCCCACUCUCGCUGGCUAGAUAUAGGCAGGUCAGGUCCCAAACCCCAAUGUAAUAUAGGCUCCCUCUUUCACACUCUGUCAAUGGCACAAAGCCCUAUUGUUAAUACAGUUCUCUACUCACACUCAAUAUAAGAGUAAACAACACUGUCCUUCGACUACACAACUUUCUUCCUCUACACACAUCUGCUCUUUCUGACAGCUUUCCUCCAGGCAUCUCAUCACAGCAAUACUGAAAGGGACUGUGGCAAGCCAGUUUUGGGACCCGUCCUCCAGGAUUCCAGAAAGCCCUUUCCUAAGAAGUCAGCUCCCGGGUAAAUUUCAGAAUUGGUACUCUGAAUGAAGAGGUGAUUUUGGCACUGGAAUAGAAUAUGGCUGCAGGGAAAGAGGCAAACUCCCUCUCUGAUUGAGAAACUGCAACCCCCUCAAACUGUUUUCUUUAAGGAUUCUGGGAAGAUGAGGUGGCCUACAGGACCAAGAGACCAAAGCUGUAUCGACUAGCUGAUCACAGAAGAGAAGGUCAGAGAGAUGCAUUCAGGCCGGCCUGGAAAAAAGCAAACAUUCAUAUUGGGAACUACCACUGGUGGCGACAUGUUACUGAACUGCAAGCAGUAUCCGGAAGCUAAGAGUCAUCCCUGGUCAACAACUAACAAGACAACAGGGACCUUAAUCCUACAGUUACAAGGACUGCCAACAAGUGACCUUGGAUAAAGACCCUAAGCCCCAGAUGAGAACUGAAACCAUGGCAACACCUUGAUUUCAGUGAGAUCCUAUACAGAGAAUCUAGCCACACUGUGGCCUGGACUUCUGACCUACAAUAACUAUGAGAUAAUAAAUGUGUUCUUUUUAGCC